RNAcentral lists this ribosomal RNA (253 nucleotides) under uncultured bacterium. Its description in RNAcentral is "partial 16S ribosomal RNA". It matches the Rfam family "Bacterial small subunit ribosomal RNA", at positions 524 to 776 of the family's 1533-position model. The record is from RNAcentral.
UACAGAGGUGGCAAGCGUUGUUCGGAAUUACUGGGCGUAAAGGGCGCGUAGGCGGCCUUCUAAGUCAGACGUGAAAUCCCCCGGCUUAACCUGGGAACUGCGUCUGAUACUGGAGGGCUUGAGUGCGGGAGAGGGAUGCAGAAUUCCAGGUGUAGCGGUGAAAUGCGUAGAUAUCUGGAGGAAUACCGGUGGCGAAGGCGGCAUCCUGGACCGGCAUUGACGCUGAUGAGCGAAAGCUAGGGGAGCAAACGGG